Molecule: unclassified non-coding RNA, 403 nt
Filed under: soil metagenome
Description: partial contains 5.8S ribosomal RNA, internal transcribed spacer 2, and large subunit ribosomal RNA
Rfam family: 5.8S ribosomal RNA (bases 1-122)
Source: RNAcentral
GAUGAAGAACGCAGCGAAAUGCGAUACUUGGUGUGAAUUGCAGAAUCCCGUGAACCAUCGAGUCUUUGAACGCAAGUUGCGCCCGAAGCCUUCGGGCUAAGGGCACGUCUGCCUGGGCGUCACGCAUCGCGUCUCCCCCAAACCACCAUGUGUGGCAGGGGAAGGAGGAUGGCUUCCCGUCCCUCACCGGGGGCGGCUGGCCUAAAUUGGAGCCUGAGGCAUUGAGAUGCCGUGGCGAUAGGUGGUGAACAAGGCCUCGGCCUCGCAAACAACCCGUCACGCGUCCCUUGGACUCUCGUAGCUCGUAGGACCCUGUGAUGUUGCCUCGUUGCAACUGAAAACGCUGCGACCCCAGGUCAGGCGGGGCUACCCGCUGAAUUUAAGCAUAUCAAUAAGCGGAGGA